AUCAUUCGACAAGAUAGUGUGAUUACCACAUUCAGGGCUUCUGCUCUCGAUGGCUCUUCAGAGAGAAGGGCUCCUUCAGAGAGUGGUCCUGUGCAGCUACCAAUCCCCAGAACAAAAGGUAAACUUUCCUUAGGCCUGAUAUUUUUGUCGUGGCCGGUAAACUUGUUGUGAAAAGGUGCGAGUGCAGUUUAUAAAGAGUACUUGAGGAAGAAAGUCUCGUCUCUAACAUUCUUGCCUAGAACACUUUCUGCUGUCUUCCAAUGUUUCAUCCUUUACCUCUAGGUCAAGAGCUAGGGUUUUGAGAGUUGCAGGAUGCUUGAAAAGUACCGAUGUCCAAAUGCAAUAUUUGUUCUCGUAUGAGUGUCAUUUGUCGGUUUGAAUCUUGCGGUGCUUGUUUUCCAUCUCCAAGGUUUUGGCCUCCGCAAUUACACAGGGAAGGUAGGUUUCAAAUUCAAAAGAGAACUUGUUAUGGUUGUGACAAGCUGGGUCAUUUUGUAAGGGAUCGCCCAACGAAGAAAAGGAAGAAUGCUGCACUCUUCAAGCUAAAGAACCAACAAAAAUACUAUUAAACCAGCAACUUGUAAUAAUAUCUUGUGAAGUGCUUCUCAGUGAGAGUGAAUGAGUUGGCCUUGCACAGCUUUAUGUGGUCGUCUACAUGGGUGCUACUCCAGCAAACAUGUUGGGAAUUCUCACAAAGCAGCUGCUUCUGUGUACCUUGAAUUCUUGAAUCUGUAUAUGGAAGUAUUGGUGACAGCAAGGAGGGAGCUAAUGAAUGGUUAAGGUAUAGUUAUGGGAAGAGCUUUGGUGGGUUUGCAGCUAUGCUCUCUCCAUCGCAUGUCCAACAACUCUCAGAUAUGGAUGGAGUGGUUUGUGUUUGAGAGCAACUAGAUCAUGGGAUUUCAUUGGCUUUCUUGCAUCUGCUCAAACCGAUAAUUUGGAGUAUCAUAGCGACAUCAUCAUCGGUCUUUUGGACACAGGGAUAUCACAAAUAUCAGAGAGUUUUACCGAUGUGGGAUUUGGUCCUAUUCCCUCCAAAUGGAGAGGAGGCUGCCACACAACAUCAGACUUCCUUGCCUGCAACAAUGACUAUAUGCUAAGAGUUGGAAUUCAUCUGGCUUGUUGUGGUCAUGGUAUACAAAAUAAGUGUUUGAAGGUGAGCUAACUACAUCCUCACAAACUACCUUUCAUAUUAUAGUCAUUUCACAUCUCAGGUUUAACAAAUUUAAUAUCCAUACGAUGAUUUGUUUUGAUUAUUCUAAAAUCACUAAAACUUUGUGCUUCGCAAGAAAAUGGUAAUAUUAGAAACAUCAAUCUUUGAUGAGAAAGUUGAUUUGGGAAUUCAAUUUCCCUUGUACGAUGGCCGCAUUUCACUGUAUAUGGUUUUGCAUGGAGUAAGAUGAUUGAUAUAGAAUUACGUCAUAUUAUUAGUGGUAUAUUGACCUGCAUG
This is a long non-coding RNA of Cryptomeria japonica (Japanese cedar), 1447 nucleotides long. RefSeq lists it as uncharacterized. The transcript has 7 exons. NCBI's taxonomy places the organism in Eukaryota, Viridiplantae, Streptophyta, Pinopsida, Cupressales, Cupressaceae. The record is from RefSeq and is a predicted model, not a curated record.